Octopus sinensis (East Asian common octopus) is the source of this 1147-nucleotide long non-coding RNA. RefSeq lists it as uncharacterized. The record is from RefSeq and is a predicted model, not a curated record. The transcript is spliced from 2 exons. Lineage: Eukaryota; Metazoa; Mollusca; Cephalopoda; Octopoda; Octopodidae.
GAAUCUCUGCAGUUGAAAAAAUGGAUUUCUAUAGAAAAAAAACCAAAAUGGGCCAUGAAAUCUUCCACUGACUGUAGAAAUUAAUUCACAUAUCUCUUUUUAAAUCCUUGCAAAUUCAAACUUGCAGGCAGUUCUAUAAUUAAGAUUUCUUUUUUUUUUUUCAUCAAUUUUCUUUUCUCUCCCACUCUGUCUUUAUUUAAAUAAAACUGGAAAAAAUGUUAAAUUAUAAUAAAAUUUGAAAUAAAAGCUGUCAUAGUUCACAGAAAUACUCACACGUACAGUCUUAGAGUGUCAGCUGCAAAUGCAUAAAACACACAUCAUGUACACUUGUAGACAUUUGUGAUAACAAGUUUCAAAAAGGUUAGAUUAACAACUACUCAGAUUCACAAAGUGGUCAUACACAGGUUAAGAAAAGUCAUGGAAGUUUGUCAUCACAACAUACAUACAUACAUAUAUUUACAUAUGUUGAUGCAUACAUAUAUGAAAUUUGCUUAGCAACCACUUGGUUCUGGAUUCAGUUCCCCUGUGUGUUAUCUUGAGCAAGUGUCUUCUACUGUGACCUUAGAGAACCACAGCCUCUUGUGAAUGUAGUUUGGGAGGUGGAGACUGUGUGGAUGCCCAUUGGAUGUAUACAUGUGUGUGUGUAUAUGCAUUAGAUGACAAUAUCGGGAUGUCAGAAAUACCUUGUGUAAUAUAUUUCAGUUUUGUCAAAAACAUCCAAUCAAUUUUGCCUUUCAUCCCUUCCAAAGUUGAUAUAAUUGACUAAAACCCUUUGAGUCAGUGCCCCAGCAUGGCCACAGUCCACCUUUUGAAACCUAUAUAAACACUAUUCUUAGCAAGGUAUUUUUCUCUAAGAGAGCUCAACUAAUGUUCAUAUAUAUCCUGAAAUAUUUGGGGUUACACCAUUAAGUUUAGACAAUGAAAAUGAAAAGAAAGAGUUAACUUCUGGUACAAGAUAUAAAGGAAAUAAGCAUGAAUGACAAUUUUUCAUGUGAAUGAAUAAUGAUCUUUUUCAUUGGCGCAAGACCAAAAUAUGUAAUAAAAUAAUGCUAAUGAACAGAUUGAGUUUGCCUUACUCAGAAAUAUAAUUAAACUUUAUAAAAUCAGGGAAAUAUUUCUUUUGUAUAAUUUGAUUUAACCAAAAAAU